UACGUAGGGGGCAAGCGUUGUCCGGAUUUAUUGGGCGUAAAGAGCGUGUAGGCGGCCGCACAGGUCCGUUGUGAAAACUGGAGGCUUAACCUCCAGACGUCGAUGGAAACCGUGCGGCUAGAGUCCGGAAGAGGAGAAUGGAAUUCCUGGUGUAGCGGUGAAAUGCGCAGAUAUCAGGAAGAACACCAAUGGCGAAGGCAGCUCUCUGGGACGGUACUGACGCUGAGACGCGAAAGCGUGGGGAGCGAACAGG
RNAcentral lists this ribosomal RNA (253 nucleotides) under uncultured bacterium. RNAcentral describes it as "partial 16S ribosomal RNA". It matches the Rfam family "Bacterial small subunit ribosomal RNA", at positions 524 to 776 of the family's 1533-position model. The record is from RNAcentral.